GAUGAACGCUGGCGGCGUGCCUAAUACAUGCAAGUCGAGCGAACAGAUAAGGAGCUUGCUCCUUUGACGUUAGCGGCGGACGGGUGAGUAACACGUGGGUAACCUACCUAUAAGACUGGGAUAACUUCGGGAAACCGGAGCUAAUUCCGGAUAACAUUUGGAACCGCAUGGUUCUAAAGUGAAAGAUGGUUUUGCUAUCACUUAUAGAUGGACCCGCGCCGUAUUAGCUAGUUGGUAAGGUAACGGCUUACCAAGGCGACGAUACGUAGCCGACCUGAGAGGGUGAUCGGCCACACUGGAACUGAGACACGGUCCAGACUCCUACGGGAGGCAGCAGUAGGGAAUCUUCCGCAAUGGGCGAAAGCCUGACGGAGCAACGCCGCGUGAGUGAUGAAGGGUUUCGGCUCGUAAAACUCUGUUAUUAGGGAAGAACAAACGUGUAAGUAACUGUGCACGUCUUGACGGUACCUAAUCAGAAAGCCACGGCUAACUACGUG
This 497-nucleotide ribosomal RNA is filed under the name uncultured bacterium. RNAcentral's name for it is "partial 16S ribosomal RNA". It matches the Rfam family "Bacterial small subunit ribosomal RNA", at positions 28 to 507 of the family's 1533-position model. The record is from RNAcentral.